UUAAGCGACUAAGCGUACACGGUGGAUGCCCUGGCAGUCAGAGGCGAUGAAGGACGUGCUAAUCUGCGAUAAGCGUCGGUAAGGUGAUAUGAACCGUUAUAACCGGCGAUUUCCGAAUGGGGAAACCCAGUGUGAUUCGUCACACUAUCAUUAACUGAAUCCAUAGGUUAAUGAGGCGAACCGGGGGAACUGAAACAUCUAAGUACCCCGAGGAAAAGAAAUCAACCGAGAUUCCCCCAGUAGCGGCGAGCGAACGGGGAGNNNNNNNNNNNNNNNNNNNNNNNNNNNNNNCACAUAUUGUGAGCUCGAUGAGUAGGGCGGGACACGUGGUAUCCUGUCUGAAUAUGGGGGGACCAUCCUCCAAGGCUAAAUACUCCUGACUGACCGAUAGUGAACCAGUACCGUGAGGGAAAGGCGAAAAGAACCCCGGCGAGGGGAGUGAAAAAGAACCUGAAACCGUGUACGUACAAGCAGUGGGAGCACGCUUAGGCGUGUGACUGCGUACCUUUUGUAUAAUGGGUCAGCGACUUAUAUUCUGUAGCAAGGUUAACCGAAUAGGGGAGCCGAAGGGAAACCGAGUCUUAACUGGGCGUUAAGUUGCAGGGUAUAGACCCGAAACCCGGUGAUCUAGCCAUGGGCAGGUUGAAGGUUGGGUAACACUAACUGGAGGACCGAACCGACUAAUGUUGAAAAAUUAGCGGAUGACUUGUGGCUGGGGGUGAAAGGCCAAUCAAACCGGGAGAUAGCUGGUUCUCCCCGAAAGCUAUUUAGGUAGCGCCUCGUGAAUUCAUCUCCGGGGGUAGAGCACUGUUUCGGCAAGGGGGUCAUCCCGACUUACCAACCCGAUGCAAACUGCGAAUACCGGAGAAUGUUAUCACGGGAGACACACGGCGGGUGCUAACGUCCGUCGUGAAGAGGGAAACAACCCAGACCGCCAGCUAAGGUCCCAAAGUCAUGGUUAAGUGGGAAACGAUGUGGGAAGGCCCAGACAGCCAGGAUGUUGGCUUAGAAGCAGCCAUCAUUUAAAGAAAGCGUAAUAGCUCACUGGUCGAGUCGGCCUGCGCGGAAGAUGUAACGGGGCUAAACCAUGCACCGAAGCUGCGGCAGCGACGCUUAUGCGUUGUUGGGUAGGGGAGCGUUCUGUAAGCCUGCGAAGGUGUGCUGUGAGGCAUGCUGGAGGUAUCAGAAGUGCGAAUGCUGACAUAAGUAACGAUAAAGCGGGUGAAAAGCCCGCUCGCCGGAAGACCAAGGGUUCCUGUCCAACGUUAAUCGGGGCAGGGUGAGUCGACCCCUAAGGCGAGGCCGAAAGGCGUAGUCGAUGGGAAACAGGUUAAUAUUCCUGUACUUGGUGUUACUGCGAAGGGGGGACGGAGAAGGCUAUGUUGGCCGGGCGACGGUUGUCCCGGUUUAAGCGUGUAGGCUGGUUUUCCAGGCAAAUCCGGAAAAUCAAGGCUGAGGCGUGAUGACGAGGCACUACGGUGCUGAAGCAACAAAUGCCCUGCUUCCAGGAAAAGCCUCUAAGCAUCAGGUAACAUCAAAUCGUACCCCAAACCGACACAGGUGGUCAGGUAGAGAAUACCAAGGCGCUUGAGAGAACUCGGGUGAAGGAACUAGGCAAAAUGGUGCCGUAACUUCGGGAGAAGGCACGCUGAUAUGUAGGUGAAGUCCCUUGCGGAUGGAGCUGAAAUCAGUCGAAGAUACCAGCUGGCUGCAACUGUUUAUUAAAAACACAGCACUGUGCAAACACGAAAGUGGACGUAUACGGUGUGACGCCUGCCCGGUGCCGGAAGGUUAAUUGAUGGGGUCAGCGCAAGCGAAGCUCUUGAUCGAAGCCCCGGUAAACGGCGGCCGUAACUAUAACGGUCCUAAGGUAGCGAAAUUCCUUGUCGGGUAAGUUCCGACCUGCACGAAUGGCGUAAUGAUGGCCAGGCUGUCUCCACCCGAGACUCAGUGAAAUUGAACUCGCUGUGAAGAUGCAGUGUACCCGCGGCAAGACGGAAAGACCCCGUGAACCUUUACUAUAGCUUGACACUGAACAUUGAGCCUUGAUGUGUAGGAUAGGUGGGAGGCUUUGAAGUGUGGACGCCAGUCUGCAUGGAGCCGGCCUUGAAAUACCACCCUUUAAUGUUUGAUGUUCUAACGUGGACCCGUGAUCCGGGUUGCGGACAGUGUCUGGUGGGUAGUUUGACUGGGGCGGUCUCCUCCUAAAGAGUAACGGAGGAGCACGAAGGUUGGCUAAUCCUGGUCGGACAUCAGGAGGUUAGUGCAAUGGCAUAAGCCAGCUUGACUGCGAGCGUGACGGCGCGAGCAGGUGCGAAAGCAGGUCAUAGUGAUCCGGUGGUUCUGAAUGGAAGGGCCAUCGCUCAACGGAUAAAAGGUACUCCGGGGAUAACAGGCUGAUACCGCCCAAGAGUUCAUAUCGACGGCGGUGUUUGGCACCUCGAUGUCGGCUCAUCACAUCCUGGGGCUGAAGUAGGUCCCAAGGGUAUGGCUGUUCGCCAUUUAAAGUGGUACGCGAGCUGGGUUUAGAACGUCGUGAGACAGUUCGGUCCCUAUCUGCCGUGGGCGCUGGAGAACUGAGGGGGGCUGCUCCUAGUACGAGAGGACCGGAGUGGACGCAUCACUGGUGUUCGGGUUGUCAUGCCAAUGGCACUGCCCGGUAGCUAAAUGCGGAAGAGAUAAGUGCUGAAAGCAUCUAAGCACGAAACUUGCCCCGAGAUGAGUUCUCCCUGACCCUUUAAGGGUCCUGAAGGAACGUUGAAGACGACGACGUUGAUAGGCCGGGUGUGUAAGCGCAGCGAUGCGUUGAGCUAACCGGUACUAAUGAACCGUGAGGCUUAACCUU
This 2845-nucleotide ribosomal RNA is filed under the name Shigella sonnei. Its description in RNAcentral is "bacterial LSU rRNA". It matches the Rfam family "Bacterial large subunit ribosomal RNA". Lineage: Bacteria; Pseudomonadati; Pseudomonadota; Gammaproteobacteria; Enterobacterales; Enterobacteriaceae. The record is from RNAcentral.